CUUGCCCAACAUUGGAAACAGCUGCUUCCUGAACGCGUCCCUGCAGUGUCUCUACAGCCUGCCCUGCUUCUGCAGUGACAUCACGGGGCAGGAGGACCUCUGGAGCCCCCGGAGAAGAACCAAGCUGAAGCUGCUGAGGUCCAGUAGAGAUCCAGACCCUUAGCCCUCACACUAGAGGAGAACCAGACCCUUAGCCCUCACAUUAGAGGAGAACCAGAACCAUAGCCCUCACAAACUACAGUACAGCUUGGACGAUUUACUGACAAAGUGAAUGCUCCACUGUACAAUAUUAAGUACAGUAGGUAUACUAAAUGCACUUGGUCUUUUCGUAUGCUGUUCUCCAGGUACUUGGGGGAGCUAUAUAAAUCCCGGCAGGGUGAGGGCUCCUACAAAGGCAAGCGCCGGCUCCUUUGGUCCAUCAAGAGCAGUCUGGCAGAGUUCAACGAGGAGUACGAGCAUAUCACUGAGCAGGUACAGCUGAUGAGUCCUUAUCUCUUGGCUUAUGCGCUUGUUGAGGAUUAAACACAUGUCAACUGAACUUCUGGUUUCUGACAGGAUGCUCAUGAGUUCCUGCUCCUCCUCUUCAUGAAGAUGAAGAUGGAAGGUGAGACACUGCAGGAGAUCUCCACGUCACCCAGCUAUAUCUGCCCCGUCCAGAACUUUGAGUUCAGACUGCAGUGUGUACGCACCUGCACCAGCUGCGGUGACAAGGUCUUCCAGGAGGAGGAGCAGAACCACUUGUCCUUGGACCUCCACCCGUCGUUGAUAGCUGGCCUCCAAUUCUACUUCAAAGUCAGUACACCGUUGUGUUGGUGUGUCCGAUUACGCUGGUCCACUGAUACUCACAGAGCACUUUCCCUCAGCCUUCAGAGUUGGAGUGCACCUGCCGGCAGUGCUCUGGAUGCCAGGCAACAGCGGUUCGGCAUUUCCUCACUCUGCCCAGAGUGUUACUCCUUCACAUGAAGCGCUUCCACCACGACGGGGCACGGUUGAGGAAGGUGACCGAUGCUGUCAGCGUUCCUCCAUGGCUGUCUCUGGCCUCCCUCGUUGGAGAGCAGGGUGCUGCAGCUGGGAUAGACCCACUGAGAUCAAGUUAUGGAGAGGGGGAAAUCGCAUCUGGAGCAAAACCAAGUGCAAACAUGGGUAAGAAAAAAGUGAUGGAUUCCUAUCUCAUGCCCAACCGCUUGAGUUUUUCAGUUGUGUACAAAACAGGAUUGUUGGUGUGUUUCUCAGCAGCAGUGGAUCAUCUUGACAGUGCAGGAGACAGGGACAGAGGUCUUCAGGAAGUUCAUGGGGUGAGAGGGGCCAGGGAGAGAGCUGUAGUACACAGUGGGACAGAAUAUGGACAGAUUCAAGUGAUGAUGCAACAGAGAAGCCCCAAGUGUUUUUUACACUGGCACUAUGCCCGUCUUAUUUGA
Gadus morhua (Atlantic cod) is the source of this 1418-nucleotide long non-coding RNA. NCBI's taxonomy places the organism in Eukaryota, Metazoa, Chordata, Actinopteri, Gadiformes, Gadidae. The record is from Ensembl.